RNAcentral lists this ribosomal RNA (266 nucleotides) under uncultured bacterium. RNAcentral's name for it is "partial 16S ribosomal RNA". It matches the Rfam family "Bacterial small subunit ribosomal RNA", at positions 355 to 638 of the family's 1533-position model. The record is from RNAcentral.
UAGGGAAUAUUAGAAAUGGACGAAAGUCUGAUCUAGCAACACCGCGUGUGCGAAGAAGGCCUUUGGGUCGUAAAGCACUUUUUGGAAGGAAUAGGAAGGAAUGUACUUCCAGAAUAAGUCUCGGCUAACUACGUGCCAGCAGCCGCGGUAACACGUAGGAGGCAAACGUUAUCCGGAUUUACUGGGCGUAAAGCGCGUGUAGGUGGUACUGUAAGUAGGGCGUGAAAGCUCCUGGCUCAACUGGGAGAGGCCGUUCUAAACUACAG